Long non-coding RNA from Folsomia candida, 1220 nucleotides. RefSeq lists it as uncharacterized. NCBI's taxonomy places the organism in Eukaryota, Metazoa, Arthropoda, Collembola, Entomobryomorpha, Isotomidae. The transcript is spliced from 4 exons. The record is from RefSeq and is a predicted model, not a curated record.
CAUACAUAUGUAGGUACAUUAUAUAUUUUCCGAUUAUUCAACAUUUAUUAAAUUACGAAAUAAAACCGAGCUAAAACAUGAAUCACAGGAGACAUGUCAUUCUCUGUCACGUCGCAAUAUUCGUUCUGUAUUGCUGGGUCGGUCGGUCAGACUGAAAGGUUUUGGAACGUGUUGGAGAUCCUCAGUUGGUUGCCUGUCCCCCAGGGGAGGAGGGUGUGCCCACCUAUAACCCGUACCCCUACGACUGCCGGAAGUUCAUUGAGUGCACUAACGGAGAAGCAAUCAUGCAGUGCUGCCUCUCGAGACGGUUUGGGAUCAAGAUUUGUUAGUUUGCAGUCACGCUGCGCCCUGUGUCAUUGUCACAACUCCACCCCCGACCUCGACGUCAGACUCGACAACUACGACUCCAUCCGCGCCAACUACACCUACACCAGACCCAAUCGUGGAUGGAGGGGUGUACACAAUCGUUAAUUCAGCAACAGGGAUGGCGUUCAGCGUCUAUAACUCCAGCAUUACUAACGGAACUAAAAUCCAUGCGAUCCCGCAUGAGCCAAGUUGCUCAGAUUUGUCUCAAGUAUAUAAACUAGAGUAUAACGUUAAGUCAAUUAACAAUCCGGUUUCAUUUACUGGGGGACCUCAAAAUGAAUUACAGUUUGAUACCUGUACCCGCUUAAAGUGGAAGAUGUAAUCUCGUUUCUUCAAAUAAGAUGGUUACAACUGAAGAAAUUAUUUCUCUUUAAGCCUAGUACUCGGGACAAACUUUUCGCUUGAAAUGACAGGUUUUUUUGUGUUAGAUUACUCAUUACCUGAGUUUUACUACCCAAGCGGAAAUGUUUCUUAAAAUAAAUUAUGACAUACUGCUUAUGCAGGUAAGUUUUUGCUUGUUUAACUUUUUCACGUGAAAAAUCUGUCCUGAGUACUAGGCUUCCAUGCGGGGGGGGGAGGGGUUUAAGGUGGCAAUCCGUAGGGGACACCUACAUAUUAUGUAGUGAUGUUCCCCAGUAAGUAUUUUCUCAGUUUUUACAUAGCUACCAAUGGAUUCUACCUGAUUCGAUCGGCCCUUUGGAUUGGAAAUCAGCAGUGGGAACUUGGAUUGCACCCGGAAGGUCCAAAUCCUACGUUCCCAAUGGUUUGGGUAAUUUCACGACUUACAUGCACAUUCAAAAUAAUGCAGAAAUAAAUUCGAACAUUGCAAAGUGACCGUAAUGCUGAAUAACUUA